GGGGAGACAAGCAAUAAAUGAGGGGUAUAGGUUGUUCAGCCCAUCUUUUAGCAAGUUUUAGCAACCAAAAACUUGCUAAAGUGCUAAACUUUAGCAACUCAACUUUAGCAAGUUUUAGCAAGGGUGUUUGGCAGUUUAGCAGCUAAAAGUUGCUAAACUUUAGCAACUAAAGUUUAGCAACUAAAGUUUAGCAAGGUGGAACCAAACACCCCCCUAAUAUGAACCCAAAUAAUGAUCCUUGACCUAGAACACUAACGGGUGUUUGGAUUUUUAGUUCGGAUUAAAAUUCAUG
RNAcentral lists this long non-coding RNA (292 nucleotides) under Setaria viridis. RNAcentral describes it as "long non-coding RNA (SVIR_LNC000852)". The record is from RNAcentral. Lineage: Eukaryota; Viridiplantae; Streptophyta; Magnoliopsida; Poales; Poaceae.